Molecule: ribosomal RNA, 255 nt
Filed under: uncultured bacterium
Lineage: Bacteria
Description: partial 16S ribosomal RNA
Rfam family: Bacterial small subunit ribosomal RNA
Source: RNAcentral
UACGAAGGGGGCUAGCGUUGCUCGGAAUCACUGGGCGUAAAGGGUGCGUAGGCGGGUCUUUUAAGUCAGGGGUGAAAUCCUGGAGCUCAACUCCAGAACUGCCUUUGAUACUGAGGAUCUUGAGUCCGGGAGAGGUGAGUGGAACUGCGAGUGUAGAGGUGAAAUUCGUAGAUAUUCGCCAGAACACCAGUGGCGAAGGCGGCUCACUGGCCCGGUACUGACGCUGAGGCACGAAAGCGUGGGGAGCAAACAGGG